This 253-nucleotide ribosomal RNA is filed under the name uncultured bacterium. Its description in RNAcentral is "partial 16S ribosomal RNA". It matches the Rfam family "Bacterial small subunit ribosomal RNA", at positions 524 to 776 of the family's 1533-position model. The record is from RNAcentral.
UACAGAGGGUGCAAGCGUUAAUCGGAAUUACUGGGCGUAAAGCGCGCGUAGGCGGUUGUGUAAGUUGGAUGUGAAAUCCCCGGGCUCAACCUGGGCACUGCAUUCAAAACUGCACGGCUAGAGUAUGGGAGAGGAAGGUAGAAUUCCAGGUGUAGCGGUGAAAUGCGUAGAGAUCUGGAGGAAUACCGAUGGCGAAGGCAGCCUUCUGGCCUAAUACUGACGCUGAGGUGCGAAAGCAUGGGGAGCAAACAGG